This 829-nucleotide ribosomal RNA is filed under the name uncultured bacterium. Its description in RNAcentral is "bacterial SSU rRNA". It matches the Rfam family "Bacterial small subunit ribosomal RNA", at positions 619 to 1447 of the family's 1533-position model. The record is from RNAcentral.
ACCUGCAUCCCAAACUGCUGGGCUUGAGUAUGGGAGAGGAUGAGGGAAUUCCUGGUGUAGCGGUGAAAUGCGUAGAUAUCAGGAGGAACACCGGUGGCGAAAGCGCUCAUCUGGCCCAAUACUGACGCUGAGGCGCGAAAGCUAGGGGAGCAAACGGGAUUAGAUACCCCGGUAGUCCUAGCCGUAAACGGUGAGCACUAGGUGUUGGAGGCAUCGACCCCUCCAGUGCCGCAGCUAACGCAUUAAGUGCUCCGCCUGGGGAGUACGGCCGCAAGGUUGAAACUCAAAGGAAUUGACGGGGGCCCGCACAAGCGGUGGAGCAUGUGGUUUAAUUCGACGCAACGCGAAGAACCUUACCCAGACUUGACAUGCAUUGGACGGGUGUGGAAACACACCUUCCCUUCGGGGCCGAUGCACAGGUGCUGCAUGGCUGUCGUCGGCUCGUGUCGUGAGAUGUUGGGUUAAGUCCCGCAACGAGCGCAACCCUUGUCCUUAGUUGCUAACGGGUAAUGCUGAGCACUCUAAGGAGACUGCCGGUGGUAAACCGGAGGAAGGUGGGGAUGACGUCAAGUCCUCAUGGCCCUUACGUCUGGGGCUACACACGUGCUACAAUGGCCGGUACAAAGGGUUCCGAUACCGCGAGGUGGAGGCAAUCCCAAAAAACCGGUCUCAGUUCGGAUUGCAGUCUGCAACUCGACUGCAUGAAGUUGGAAUCGCUAGUAAUCGCUGAUCAGCAGGCAGCGGUGAAUACGUUCCCGGGCCUUGUACACACCGCCCGUCAAGCCACGAAAGUCGGCAGCACCCGAAGUCGCUACGCCAACCGUAAGGG